This 1142-nucleotide long non-coding RNA is filed under the name Homo sapiens (human). Its description in RNAcentral is "non-protein coding lnc-CDYL-1:1". The record is from RNAcentral. Lineage: Eukaryota; Metazoa; Chordata; Mammalia; Primates; Hominidae.
AGGAAAUGUUCUUCCUUGAUGCUCUGAGCUCUCUAAGAAGUUACCACAAAACCAAACCCAUCAGAAGUUUGCAGGACGUCCUUGUUUAGAGCUGGGAAAUAAACCACGAAACAGCGCAAAGGAGAGUCCAGGCCUGCCAAUGCUUCCGCGAACUCCUCGCCCCGACCUCAUCCUUCUCCAGCUCCUACCUGCAGGCCUCAGGCCUCCUGACCUCCAGGCUCCUUACCCUCCCGCUGGCCUCUGCUCUACACUCAUCUUUGUGCCCUGCUUCCAAUCAUGCCAGGCCUCGGGGUCCCUGUCUCUAACUUCACCAUGAGACUCAGGUGCUUCUCUACACUCCACCCUCUCCAACACUGUUUGGAAUCUCAGGCUUGGUCCCAAUCCUAUGGGCUAACUUUGAAAAGACCGCUGUUCAUAAGGAGAGAGAAAGGAGGAAGAGAUGAGAAAGGAAGACAGAGAAAGAAACUCUAUGAUCACGGUUUUUCCAAAAUUCAUGGUUAAAUUAGAACUUACUAUGUGCAAAUAUAGAAGCACGGGUCCACAGAGUUCCAGAGAAUGAAUGCUGACGACUAAGCACCAGCCUCCACUCCCUGCCCCAUAGUGAGUAUCCCUCCUCUGUGUGCUCAUGCUGUGAAUCCCCCCCAUUCUACCACUUCUCCCCUCAUCACUGGCUUGCUGUAGGAUCAGAAGUUCCUUAAGAACAAGAACCUUCUCCCAGUGUAUCCCCAGCACCUAAUACAGAAGGUAAUAAGGAGGAGGCAUCUGCUAAACGCUUGUUGAAGGAGUGAAAUUGAGAGACCAGGAAGGGCCUGCAGGCAUUGUGGUGAGCCUGCCUGUUGUCCACGUGGCUGCAGCAAGCAAACAUGGGUUUUCCUUGGAAGGACUGUGGGCCAUCAACCCAUUAAUUGCCGAGUUGCUUCUAUCAGGGCAAGGCUGUGGAAUCCUGUUAUCCUAGACAAUGAGGUACAGGGUGCAAGCAGAUCUGUGUGCUGCUGUCUUCCGGUAAACGGACCAAGUUCUCACUUCCCAUCCUCCUCCCCAGUCUCACCCACCCGUGCUCCCAAGAGAGCAAUUCAUCAUGUCAGUGUCUGGUGUUUUCUUGAAGGCCUGUGCUAAAUAAAGUGGAUUGUUUAUAAAGUGGG